Molecule: long non-coding RNA, 790 nt
Filed under: Homo sapiens (human)
Lineage: Eukaryota; Metazoa; Chordata; Mammalia; Primates; Hominidae
Description: non-protein coding lnc-FGFRL1-3:1
Source: RNAcentral
CUCUUCCUGCCUACCCCCACCCCCCCACAGCCCAGGCCUUGGACCACAGCCAGCCUGGGUGGCCUUCUGGCUGGGAGACCCCAGGGCUGGGAGUCCCGGCCCACCCCCCUCCCCUGCGAUGCUCCCCACUCAGUCCGUGUGGCUGGAGCUUCUGUGACAUCACUCGGCAAGGGGCCUGAGCUUGCAGCCCCAGCUCUGCCACGAUCACCGAGUCCCCGUGACAGGCCUACUUCCUGUGACCCCAGACGAGGCCCCAGCCCACCCUCUGCCCUGGCACCCCAAGGCAGAGCCAAGCUGAGCAGGGUGCAGACCCUGGUGGCCGCCGACUAACAGGUGACCCUCCUGGGCUGUGGGAGGGCUGACAAUGCCCCCCUUCACUACAUGGCAGGAAGGGCCAGGGGUGCUACACACUCAGUAUAAAGAGGAUCUGCAGAGAAGGUGCCAGGAAAGCCCCUGCCCACCCCCGGGCUGGUCCUACAACCCAUCCACAGGCACUGCCUACUUUAAAGGAGGCUCCUGUGGCAUCGGCCAAGGAGAACAGCAUUAUUAGUGGCAAACAUCUUGAAGCAAACAAAAUGUGGUCAAGUUGAGCUAACAUCACAUUAUUUUCCUGAAGAAUGCUGUGUGAACUCACGGAGUCCGUCUGCACUAAUCAGUCCAGUGAACGGCUUCCUUCCUUCUGGCAGAGUUCCUUCUCCAGCAUUUCCUCCAAAUCCCACCCAGCAUUAAUGACAUCUGUCUAUAAACAUUAGUUUUAGUCUCAAAUAUUUUUUCCCUCAAAACUCAGAAG